This 497-nucleotide ribosomal RNA is filed under the name uncultured bacterium. RNAcentral describes it as "partial 16S ribosomal RNA". It matches the Rfam family "Bacterial small subunit ribosomal RNA", at positions 28 to 507 of the family's 1533-position model. The record is from RNAcentral.
GAUGAACGCUGGCGGCGUGCCUAAUACAUGCAAGUCGAGCGAACAGACGAGGAGCUUGCUCCUCUGACGUUAGCGGCGGACGGGUGAGUAACACGUGGAUAACCUCCCUAUAAGACUGGGAUAACUUCGGGAAACCGGAGCUAAUACCGGAUAACAUGUUGAACCGCAUGGUUCAACAGUGAAAGACGGUCUUGCUGUCACUUAUAGAUGGAUCCGCGCCGCAUUAGCUAGUUGGUAAGGUAAAGGCUUACCAAGGCAACGAUGCGUAGCCGACCUGGGAGGGGGAUCGGCCACACUGGAACUGAGACACGGUCCAGACUCCUAAGGGAGGCAGCAGUAGGGAAUCUUCCGCAAUGGGCGAAAGCCUGACGGAGCAACGCCGCGUGAGUGAAGAAGGUCGUCGGAUCGUAAAACUCUGUUAUUAGGGAAGAACAAAUGUGUAAGUAACUAUGCACGUCUUGACGGUACCUAAUCAGAAAGCCACGGCUAACUACGUG